Molecule: non-coding RNA, 135 nt
Organism: Nyctereutes procyonoides (raccoon dog)
Lineage: Eukaryota; Metazoa; Chordata; Mammalia; Carnivora; Canidae
Product: small Cajal body-specific RNA 17
Exons: 1
Source: RefSeq, a predicted model, not a curated record
UCCCCGAGUCCCCAGUGUAGCCCCCUCGUGAGCUCGCGGUAUUUUCCUUAUAUGAUCGAGCUCCGCUCGGCGCCGCUGGCCCGGAGCCCGAGAGGAUUAUGAAAACGUGGGGUGAGGUGGGGCUGGGGACCGGGG